RNAcentral lists this ribosomal RNA (437 nucleotides) under uncultured Oscillospiraceae bacterium. RNAcentral describes it as "partial 16S ribosomal RNA". It matches the Rfam family "Bacterial small subunit ribosomal RNA", at positions 341 to 792 of the family's 1533-position model. The record is from RNAcentral. Lineage: Bacteria; Bacillati; Bacillota; Clostridia; Eubacteriales; Oscillospiraceae.
ACGGAAGGCAGCAGUGGGGAAUAUUGGGCAAUGGGCGAAAGCCUGACCCAGCAACGCCGCGUGAAGGAGGAAGGCCUUCGGGUUGUAAACUUCUUUUACCAGGGACGAAGGACGUGACGGUACCUGGAGAAAAAGCAACGGCUAACUACGUGCCAGCAGCCGCGGUAAUACGUAGGUUGCAAGCGUUGUCCGGAUUUACUGGGUGUAAAGGGCGUGUAGGCGGAGCUGCAAGUCAGAUGUGAAAUCCCGGGGCUCAACCCCGGAACUGCAGUUGAAACUGUAGCACUUAAGUAUCGGAGAGGCAAGCGGAAUUCCUAGGGUAGCGGUGAAAUGCGUAGAUAUUAGGAGGAACACCAGUGGCGAAGGCGGCUUGCUGGACGACAACUGGCGCUGAGGCGCGAAAGCGGGGGGAGCAAACAAGAUUAGAUACCCUGGUA